UACAGAGGUCCCAAGCGUUGUUCGGAUUCACUGGGCGUAAAGGGUGCGUAGGCGGUCGGGUAAGUCUGAUGUGAAAUCUCACAGCUUAACUGUGAAACUGCAUUGGAUACUAUUCGGCUUGAGAGUUGGAGGGGGGACUGGAAUUCUUGGUGUAGCAGUGAAACGCGUAGAUAUCAAGAGGAACACCAGUGGCGAAGGCGAGUCCCUGGACAACUUCUGACGCUGAGGCACGAAAGCUAGGGGAGCAAACAGG
RNAcentral lists this ribosomal RNA (253 nucleotides) under uncultured bacterium. RNAcentral's name for it is "partial 16S ribosomal RNA". It matches the Rfam family "Bacterial small subunit ribosomal RNA", at positions 524 to 776 of the family's 1533-position model. The record is from RNAcentral.